Molecule: long non-coding RNA, 2145 nt
Organism: Callithrix jacchus (white-tufted-ear marmoset)
Lineage: Eukaryota; Metazoa; Chordata; Mammalia; Primates; Cebidae
Source: Ensembl
AUUUGUUGAAAAAAUCCUACUGUAAACAAAUAUAUCUCACUAAUGAGGAUGCUACAACUGAUACUCCUCUUUUUUGUGAAAACUACCAAAUUUUUUGAAGAACACAGAAAAUGUAGCAGAAAGCAGCCAUUUAAAAAAAUUGUAGCUGAGUUUCUUUGUCAUUACUGAAAUGUGAGUUUUAUUAGGAGCAUGAUACUGAUGAAUAAUACCACAAAGAAAAGAAUGACCACUCUUUCUUUCUUUCUUUUUUUUUUAGCCACUCCUUAUUUAAUGGAAGAUAUCAGUGUAAGACUACAGACUUUGUAUUUCCAAACUGAAGCCAGGAAAACUAGUUCGACCUCAAGAGUUGAAAAGGUAGACCGAGAUCUGAGUAAGACUAAUGUGUGUGUGUGUGUGUGUGUACAUAUAUAUAUAUUUAACAAUCCUCUCUUUCUCUUUCUCUCUCUCAAAUAUUAAUUAAAUAUAUAUUGUAUUUCAGGCAGAUCCUUACACACAGACUAGAAAGAACAGAAGCCUAAGAACAAAUAAUUAAAGAAUAAUGCAAUAGUGUAUGAGCUAUAUUGACUAUUUAAAUAUAUUCAGCAGACUGUUUAAAUAUAUUUAAUCGUCAUGUGAUAAUCUCCACAAACUUUAGCCUAUUUGCAAGGACGUUAGAAGGUCUCAGUUCAAGGAUCUUACAACCCCUACUAGUGACCUCAGGACACUGAUGCUAUACAGAUUUAGAAUAAAGAAAUUUGUUGCCAUCACAACUGUUUCCUAUAUUUGCAGUCCUCAAUUGUUGCUCUAACUAGUGGAUUGUAGAAUAAAUCACUGUUAAAUUAUAUUUAAAACCUUGUAUCUUAUUACUAAUGCACCUUGGAAACUAUGAUUAAAUUGUGUUGAAAGUGAAACUAGAAUCUUGAGGACUAGGAUGCUGUAAUCAUCAUUUUAGUGUUUAUUACAUUUAUGUUAUUAAUGAAUCAGAGAGAUAAGAAAAAUCUCCAAUUUAUUAGAAAAGAUUCAUUAAAAAUUGCAACUUUGAAGUUUCCAAAACCUAUUCCCAAUGUAAACAGGAAAGAAAUGAGAGAACACCGUGUUUCUGAACAGUUUGUAACAGGAAAUCUGUACAAAAGUAUUUACAUAACCAAGAGAAGCCCCUAGAGAAAGGAGGAAUUUGCAGGUAAAUUAAUGCAAUGGAUUCACAGAAAAAAAGGGGGACUAUUGUAAGGCCCAGAGGUGCACUUCACAAUGAAUAAUUCCAUCAAAAUUAUACGUGCAAAUUAGAUCAAUUAAAGUGGAAGAUGCUCAGUCACAUACUGGUCUAAGAGUUAACAGUUGUGAGAAUAGAACUAAAACCAAUUCCAAUUGAAAUUGUAGAGAACAUCCCAGGUGGAAAACAAAAUAAUCCUAAAGGAACAAGAGUAAGUAAAAGCAUUAUUUAUUUGCUUUGUUUUUUUUGAAGGUUGAUAUUAGAAAAAAUUAUAAAUUUUUUUCUGGCUACUUGUACAUUUCUAUUCUCGGCGAACAACAAAAAUAACAACAAAAAACACACAAGAGAGAGGCACAAAUCUUUUUCUAAGGAAUACAAAAAGGCUGACCAAAAGUAGGUCCAAGGUGAUGACUCCAGUUUCACCAAAAAUUAGAGAUGACUGCUUAAUCUCCUACUUUUUGUUAGAUUCACUGAAAUCAAAUAUUUAUUGUUAACUAAGGACUUGUAAGAGAGAAAUGUAAAAACUAAACAUGUUAUUUUAAGAAAAAGCAAAUUUGUGAAAUAGUGCAUAUGAUAGAUAAGGUGAAUUGGUUUGCAUAGCAAACUGUUUAUUGCUCAGGUGUUUAUGGCAUCAAGGGCAUUCUUCUAGUUUCACCUGGACUCCUGUAUUUCUGGUCAGCUAUAGGUCGAGUAGCAGCUCUGCCUUUGUAGGUAUGGCUCUCUAGCAAAAUCAGGUACCAGCCCACUUGGAGAAUGGGGUGCUUCCUCUCUUCUCCACAUUGUCCUUCAUUGUGCAGCAGACUAGACCAGCUUUGUUCUUAGUGGCAGAGGCAGGGUGUUGAGACAGUGGUGAAACAUGAGCUCAAAAACCUAAAUUUGGAACUGUUACACUGUGACUUCCCCCAUAUUCUGUUGGUUAAACAGGUCAGAAUGGCAUUCCAGAUUCAAGAGGUGGG